GGGCAUUUAGUCUAGUGGUAUGAUUCUCGCUUUUGGUGUGAUAGGUCUAGAGUUCAAUUCUCAGAACGCCCC
This 72-nucleotide transfer RNA is filed under the name Ricinus communis (castor bean). It matches the Rfam family "tRNA". Rfam says of the family: Transfer RNA (tRNA) molecules are approximately 80 nucleotides in length. Their secondary structure includes four short double-helical elements and three loops (D, anti-codon, and T loops). Lineage: Eukaryota; Viridiplantae; Streptophyta; Magnoliopsida; Malpighiales; Euphorbiaceae. The record is from Rfam by way of RNAcentral.